CCNGCCCUUUGACACACGCCGGUNGUAACACACGAUAAAUGGCUGGGGAAGGCNUCGAANGGCCCCAGGAGGGUGGCAACGACCCCCCAGGGCCGGAAAAGUGGUCAAACCCCGUCAUUUAGAGGAAGUAAAGGUCGUAACAAGGUUUCCGUAGGUGNACNUGCGGGAAGGAUCAUUACCGAGUGUAGGGUUCCUAGCGAGCCCAACCUCCCACCCGUGUUUACUGUACCUUAGUUGCUUCGGCGGGCCCGCCAUUCAUGGCCGCCGGGGGCUCUCAGCCCCGGGCCCGCGCCCGCCGGAGACACCACGAACUCUGUCUGAUCUAGUGAAGUCUGAGUUGAUUGUAUCGCAAUCAGUUAAAACUUUCAACAAUGGAUCUCUUGGUUCCGGCAUCGAUGAAGAACGCAGCGAAAUGCGAUAACUAGUGUGAAUUGCAGAAUUCCGUGAAUCAUCGAGUCUUUGAACGCACAUUGCGCCCCCUGGUAUUCCGGGGGGCAUGCCUGUCCGAGCGUCAUUGCUGCCCAUCAAGCACGGCUUGUGUGUUGGGUCGUCGUCCCCUCUCCGGGGGGGACGGGCCCCAAAGGCAGCGGCGGCACCGCGUCCGAUCCUCGAGCGUAUGGGGCUUUGUCACCCGCUCUGUAGGCCCGGCCGGCGCUUGCCGAACGCAAAUCAAUCUUUAUUCCAGGUGACCUCGGAUCAGGUAG
RNAcentral lists this ribosomal RNA (704 nucleotides) under Aspergillus flavus. RNAcentral's name for it is "eukaryotic LSU rRNA". The stretch from base 361 to 514 matches the Rfam family "5.8S ribosomal RNA". Lineage: Eukaryota; Fungi; Ascomycota; Eurotiomycetes; Eurotiales; Aspergillaceae. The record is from RNAcentral.